UUAUUUCCAUUUUUAUCCUCACCUUCUCCACACAAGCUUUCAACUGGGUUUCAACUGUUUUUAAAGAUAUCCAUCCUCUCUUAGAAACACACCUUCAAAACAUAAGAACCCUACAGAGAGUAGAAGGCGUUCUUUUGAGCUUUCAUCAAUGGCAGAUUGGAAUCGAGAUCAAGCUGAAGAACCGCUCAAGGAGGGGAGGGCAAGAACCCGCCGCGGCGCACAACGCACGAGCUUCAACAAUACUGAGAAUAGAAUCUUCUCAGAAGCUAGCACAGAGUCUGGGAUAUCCAGAUUCGGGGAUGGAGAUUCGGGUGCAAACUUCAACAAUGAUGACAAUUUAAUUGUUUCAGUCGGAAGCACUAGUUGUGGGAUUACCUGCUUUGGCAACAUGAACUACAAAAAGUCGACCAUCUUAUUUCUUCUU
Non-coding RNA from Prunus avium (sweet cherry), 424 nucleotides. The record is from RefSeq and is a predicted model, not a curated record. NCBI's taxonomy places the organism in Eukaryota, Viridiplantae, Streptophyta, Magnoliopsida, Rosales, Rosaceae.